Paramuricea clavata is the source of this 1248-nucleotide non-coding RNA. The record is from the annotation of a GenBank genome assembly. Lineage: Eukaryota; Metazoa; Cnidaria; Anthozoa; Malacalcyonacea; Plexauridae.
CCACUAAUAUAAACUUAGAUUUAUGAAUAAAACUUAACAUCAAAGAACUGAAACAGUUUAAGUAGUACAAUUUAGUCACCUUUCAUCAAUCCAAUCCAUGUGUGUUCAUAUGAUCUUCCAGUUUCCUUGGAAUAUCAAAUUCAAUGUCGCACAUAGUACAAAUAUAUCCAACACCGGUUGGUUCCAUUGACUCCAAUUCCUGGCAUAAACCACAUUGAAAGUUUACAUUAUUGCCAUGUUGCCUUGCUAUAUGUCGCACUAAUUUUGCAAAAUUGGAAAGAUGCAUGUUGCAUUUCAUACAAACAUGUUCUCCAGUGACUUCAUCUUUGAAAGCAUGUUGUUGUAUAUCUUGCGGCCGAGUAAAUUCUCUAUGACAAGUGUUACACAAAAAAUGUGACUUUUUGUGCGCUUGUAGACUGUGUCCUCGAGAAAAUUUCUUAUUGCAAACAUCACAUUCAUAAGCGUUAUCUCCAGUGUGUGUUUUUUAUGUGUUGCCAAAUUGCCUGACUGUGAAAAUCCUUUCUUACAAACAUCACAUUCAUAAGGUUUUUCUCCAGUGUGUGUUCGUUUAUGUGUUACUGAACUGCUCGACUGAGAAAAUCCCUUCUUACAAACAUCACAUUCAUAAGGUUUGCCUCCAGUGUGUGUUCUCUUAUGUUUUAACAAAUCAUUUGAUUGAGAAAAUUUCUUAUUGCAAACAUCACAUUUAUAUGGUUUGUCUCCAGUGUGUGUUCUUUUAUGUCUUGCUAAAUUGCCUGACUGCGAAAAUACCUUCUUACAAACAUCACAUUCAUAAGGUUUGUCUCCAGUGUGCGUUCGUGUAUAUCUUGCUAAAUGGCUUGACUGAGAAAAUUUCUUCUUUAUGCAAACAUCACAUUCAUAAGGUUUAUCUCCAGCUUCUAUUCUAUUAUGUGUUACCAACUUGUUUAAUAUCGAAAAUCGCUUGUUGCAAACAUUACAUUCAUAAGGUUUGUGUGUUCUCUCUUCUUACUGCAUCGAAGCUGCUCGAAGUUGAAAACAUAUCCUUUUAUAUACGAUCUCACAAAUCACAAUGAAUUGAAUCAAUGAUCGAUAUCAGAUGGAUAUGUUCAAUAAAUCCUAAACACGUUGAAACGGUUUAGAAUAUCGAACGUCGAAACUCCUUCCUAACCUCAGCAAUACGUAUUUGCUUUUGUGUUAUUUUAAUCGAUGAGAAAAUAGAUAAUACAAGUGUGUUUCUUCACUGUUUUCAUUGCCAUCAAAUAUGGC